GGGGCCGUCUUGCCCCCCAGCUCUGCUCUCAGCUAUAUUUAUCUGCACUCUCACCAUAAAAGGUUGCGACUGCUGCCUGGACACCCUGACCAGGGCCAACAUUAUUUUCGUUGUGUCGACCGCAGCCCUGUGAGCACCUACCUGUAGGGUCUGCUGGGGUAUCAAGCUCUAGGUGUGGGGUUGGAUCAUAUUUGCCUGUAAAGCUUCAAGUUUGAGGAGUUUUGGCGGGGGAUCCAUGAUCACGAGGAACAUUUCAAGCGUAUGAACGAAGACAGCCUGAUGCACUCCCCGGAGUUUGUGAUUAAACCUCGCUCCCACACUGUGUGGGAGAACCAGUGUGUGCGACUGCACUGCACUGUCACCGGCUGGCCUGACCCCCGGGUCGUCUGGUACAAGAACAAUGUGCCUAUUGACCCCCUGUCCAACCCUGGCAAGUAUAAGCUCGAGAGCAGAUACAACGUGCACUCCAUGGAGAUUAACAAGUAAGUGUUUGAAAUGUAAAACUCAAAUAGAGACAAAAUAAAUAAAUAGUAUAUUAUUUGCUAUUUAGCUUGCGUCGUCAAUUGGUAGCGGGCCGCACAGAAAGAACGCAUAACUUAAGAUUAUUUCCGUUUUAUCCAUUAACAGAUUCUAAACGAUGUUU
Cynoglossus semilaevis (tongue sole) is the source of this 643-nucleotide long non-coding RNA. RefSeq lists it as uncharacterized. NCBI's taxonomy places the organism in Eukaryota, Metazoa, Chordata, Actinopteri, Pleuronectiformes, Cynoglossidae. The record is from RefSeq and is a predicted model, not a curated record. The transcript is spliced from 3 exons.